This 706-nucleotide ribosomal RNA is filed under the name Amsacta albistriga. RNAcentral describes it as "SSU rRNA". It matches the Rfam family "Eukaryotic small subunit ribosomal RNA", at positions 57 to 713 of the family's 1831-position model. The record is from RNAcentral. Lineage: Eukaryota; Metazoa; Arthropoda; Insecta; Lepidoptera; Erebidae.
ACCAACGAGAAAAUUGCGUCACAUACGGCCAGUGUGUCUCAGUACCUCCGUUUAAGGUGAACCCGCGGAUGGAUCAUUAAAUCAAUUAUGGUUCCUUAGAUCGUACCCACGUUACUUGGAUAACUGUGGUAAUUCUAGAGCUAAUACAUGCACCCAGAGUCCCGACCAGAGAUGGGAGGGACGCUUUUAUUAGAUCAAAACCAAUCGGUCGGCUCGUCCGGUCCGUUUGCCUUGGUGACUCUGAAUAACUUUGGGCUGAUCGCACGGUCUCCGUACCGGCGACGCAUCUUUCAAAUGUCUGCCUUAUCAACUGUCUAUGGUAGGUUCUGCGCCUACCAUGGUUGUAACGGGUAACGGGGAAUCAGGGUUCGAUUCCGGAGAGGGAGCCUGACAAACGGCUACCACAUCCAAGGAAGGCAGCAGGCGCGCAAAUUACCCACUCCCGGCACGGGGAGGUAGUGACGAAAAAUAACGAUACGGGACUCAUCCGAGGCCCCGUAAUCGGAAUGAGUACACUUUAAAUCCUUUAACGAGUAUCUAUUGGAGGGCAAGUCUGGUGCCAGCAGCCGCGGUAAUUCCAGCUCCAAUAGCGUAUAUUAAAGUUGUUGCGGUUAAAAAGCUCGUACUUGGAUUUGUGUCCCACGCUGUUGGUUCACCGCCCCGUCGGUGUUUAACUGGCAUGUAUCGUGGGACGUCCUGCCGGUGG